RNAcentral lists this long non-coding RNA (9434 nucleotides) under Gallus gallus (chicken). Its description in RNAcentral is "lncRNA (ENSGALG00010016306.1)". The record is from RNAcentral. Lineage: Eukaryota; Metazoa; Chordata; Aves; Galliformes; Phasianidae.
UUCCAGGCAGGGAAGACAAGGUAAAGUAUGCUGAAAUUCUGCUGUGUUCACUUUUAGAUAAAACACGGAUUCAUGCUGCUGAAGUCCAUGGAGAUGCUAAAGUCAGUCAUGUAUAAACAGUGAUCUAUGAUCUAAAGUUUCAGGAGGGACGAAGAAUGCACAGUCCAAAAUGUUGGUCAUCUACCUGAGAAACACAUUAACAACAGGGAUCAGAAGAGCCUUUUGGCAUGAAGCAGAAAAGAAUCCCGACAAAAGAACCCCGACUGGGCCCGGGCCGGGGCAGGGCCGGGAAGGCGCGGCGGGGCCUGCAGGGCGGCCGGCGGCCACAGGGGGGCUUCGUUCAGCCUCUCACAGUGGAGCGGCGGCGGCCGCUUGGCUUUCCCCCUCCCUCACGGAGGCUGUGCUUCCAGCGCUGGGUUAUCCCGUUCAUUCCAGGUUCUUAAAUUCUGCCCCCUUAACGCCGUUCAGGUUAAAGGCAGUUCAGCACAACUUGCCCUUUUCAUAAGUGUUGUGUUACCUUAAUAAAAAUGUGCUAAAAGCACUUACAGCCGUCCAGAAUUCUGGGGUACUGCUCUACUUUUUACUACCAACGGGUACUUCAACCAUUUAUUCCUUAAAUAAUUAGCCAUGAGAGUAAUCACAGAAUCAUAGAAUUGUUUGAGCUGGAAGGGACCCUUAAAGGCCAUCUAGUCCAUCUCCCCUGCAAUGAACAGGGACACCUACAGCUUGAUCAGGGUGCUCAGAGCCCCGUCCAGCCUGACCUUGUAUGUCUCCAGAGACCCCAUCCACCACCUCUCUGGGCAACCUGUGCCAGUGCCUCACCACCCUUAAUGUAAAAAACUUCCUUACAUCUAGUCUAAUUCUCCCCUCUUUUAGUUAGAAACCAUUUCCCCUUGUCUUAACACAACGGAUGCUACUGGAGGGUCUGCCCCCUUUUUUUUCUUACAGCCCCCCUUUAGAUACUGAAAGGCUGCUAAUACAUAUGAACAACAACAAUACAUCUUUUUGUUAUUAUUAUUACUUAAACAAUUGCAUUCAUUCAUAGAUCUCAAAGUGCUAUUUAAAUGAGGUCAGCACAAUUAACCCUGCUGAACCACUGCUGUGCAGAGCUUCCAGACUGCUGUCACUGUGCAUCAGCCGAGCACACAGUCCUGUCUCUAACACCUUUAAGCAAAGACUGGAGCCAAAACCAAAGCGGCAGGAAGCUUCCAUAUUAGAUAAGGUUUUUGGACACAGAAGCUCUCACUGCCUCGAAGAGAGAGAGAAAACAGCCUGAAAGCAUUUGGAAACUGCCCUGCUGUGGUUGGAACAGUUGGGGAUCACUGAAGAACUGCAAUGAGGGGGAGCAGCAGCUGGCAAAAGCUAGGAGAGUUAGGUGCAAGAGGAGAGCAGAGCUCCUUAAGUAACACACAGCCCAGGGAGCUGUCACGGGUCUGAGAUAGGUUCCUGUUCUUCCUCGGAGAGAAACGUUCCCGGUGAUCUGGAAGAGCGAGGGGGCUAAAGCCCUAAAAGGAGGCCUCCAAUUUUAGAAAUGCCUCUUGUCCCCACAAUCCCUCCAUUUUUAUAACAUUUUUUAGGUAUGACAUUAUACAAACUAUGUAACUGACAAAUCCUCCAUUUGCAUUAGAUUUAAGUGGCUUCCCUCCCAUCACUCCUCGCUGUUAAAAAUACAUUACAGAAAUUACUAUCCCGCCUAGGAAAAUGUGUGAUGACUCCAGUGUCUGUCGUUUAUGUCUAAAACAUUUUGGCACUUAUCCUGCCAGGUUGUCUUUUCCUUUCAGCUUUGAGUGAGAGAAGGGGAAGUGCAGGGUGAGGGGCCAGAUUUUUCUAUUUCCCUAGUUGCUGCCUGCAUGCAUUUCAGCCCACACUGCAGGCGUGAUGGGAUCUAAAUGCUGAGCAGGAGCAGUGAAAUCCUCAGGAGGAAAAGAGAAUAGAAAGCAGAGAGAAGCCACACUUCAGGCUACCCUAAGAGUGUCUGUAUCAAAUCAGAGCAAAGAUACUGCCCAAGAUCUUGUCUUCCUACAGCAGUCAAUAUUUACAGAGAAACUAUCAGCAAACAGCAAGCGUGACAUGAUCUUUCCUCUUGAGUCACCUUUCAGCUUCUGCAAAGGGGACAGACACCUUUCUGCCUUCAUCUCAUUUGCAUGUGGACUGAAUUUGGCCCUCUGCAUCUGAACAAGCCCCCAGUCUCCUUCACUCCCCUCUCCUGCAGCCCCCAGCUGCUACAUCAGUGCCAUUGGGGCUGCUCACAUCAGGCAUUUCUAAACACUAAUCAAGCACAGAGAUCCCUUUUCCCUCUGCUAAGAGCCUGGCUCAAUCUGGAAGGAAAGGAGGAGAAUCAAUCUACCUGAUUGCUGUAUCCCUUUCAUCUUGCACUUUGCAGCCCCUUGCCAAGCAGAGCAGCGGGAGAGUCUCAGCUCGAUCAGCUCAGCUGCUCCCGGCAGGUGUCACUAUGGAAUGGCAAAAUGCAACUCGAAGGCUGUGAUUGCUGCUGCAGGCAGAGUGUCCGCUGAAGUGCCACGUUGGUACCAUGGCGCUGCAGCCAGGAAAGUUUCCUAAUUAGAUCUGAAACAGAGGUGCUGCUGCCCUCUGCUUUCCCCAUGUUUGUCUCUCCACGCUCACAACCCUAACAGUGGGUUGGAGGAGUUUUCUGGUUUUUUUUGUGUUUUCUUAAAUAUAUAUAUAUGCAACAUUGCUUAGCAAUGAAUGAAGAGUCACCCUUCUUCAUGGAUCGCUGCCUCGUGUAGUAACAUGAGCACAAUGACGUGUAAAGUUUCCAGAACUGUUGGUAAUUACUGAUAAGCCCAGUUCAGCUCUCAGUUACAUACAAAGCUGGGUAAACAAUGGGAGGAAAAAAUUAAUUAGAGCCCAUGUUUGCUAAAGCUGGCUAGCGAUUCCAUCUGAUCACGUUCCUGCUCCUUUCAUUCCCUUUGCACAAAUGUUUGGGUGGUCAGGUUAUGUUGGUGCGUAGGUGCACAGGAGGAGCUUUUGUCUGUGCAAAUACUGCAUCUCUCCCAGGGCAUGGGCCCUUCUGGUAAGCACUCGCCCUUCCCUUGUGUUUGCAGCUGGGAAGGUGUCUGAAGGCCUGGGCAGGCAGAGGUUAAAUGGUUGCCUCUCCCACGCAAUACAUACCUGAAGUCUCCAUACCACCAAAACCAGCAAGGGAAGAAGGAAGAGAGAACAGGUGGGAAUAGGAAACAAUAGGAAGGACACACAUCUAGAGAAAUUUCACACAUGUUUUGACCCCAUAGUACUCUUUGGCAAUGUGUCUUCUGUGACACAGCACAGCCUAUGUGAAGCGGAAAAGGAAGAUUCAGAAAGCUUCUCUUUGGCAUGGGCUGGACACAUUACUAGCACAAACAUUGGGCCUAGAUCACAUUGCUUCACUUGCUGGGAACGCUGGGACUGGUCAAGUUCUUAGAGACUUAUUCCAAUCAAUUGUAAGACUUCAUGAGUACUACACGGCACCUUGAACACUGCAUGGGCUGCUUGUAUCUGCCUGAUUUCUCAUCAGGGACUCAGGCAACUUCCAGUGUGACAGGAGUCAGGGUGUUGCCAGGGAUCUAAACAUCAUGUUCUCCUCCAUGACUGAAUCCUCUCACUGUGGCAGGACUGAUUUCCUUGUGUAAAAGUAAGUCUGGUCUUGACAAUGUGGUCAGACCAGACGACCUCCAAACAUCCCUUCCAACUAAAAUAACUCUGUUAAGUCCAUGAUUGUGGGGUCAUUUCCUGCUAUACUUCUUUCCCUGAAGUGCUUCCUCAGAGCCAGUGCCUCAGUGAUUUCUUCAGAUUCAGCUCAAAAUUGUGGAAACUAGGUCAAGCCAUGAUGGGAAAGCUACAAGGCCAAGCUUACCAUGAGAAAUCAUGGGGAAAAUACAAAGCCUACACCAUGAUUCUUACGGCAUGAAUGGAAUGGGAUGCAUCCACUAGAAGAACUGGUUGCACAGCAAAAUAUAUUUAUAUAUAUAUAUAUAGGAGACAAUGCAGUUCUUUUGGAAAUAGCUUGUAGAGAGUACCAAAUUGGACUGAUUUUUUGAUGUCAAUAAACCAUCUGAUGAGUCCUGGCAUCUUCAGAGUCUUGUGAUGUCUUUCUCCUCUUGUGAAGAAAUGCUUGGCAGAUGAAUCCAUAAAAUCCUGUCCUUUUGUGCACUCAUUUUACAGCACUGUUUGUGUCCUGGUGCACAGAGUUGUGUUUUAUGGAGUGCUAGGAAAGGCUCAGAUCAAAGCUAAUGCGAUUUAUCCAUGAUACUUUCUGCAAGAAGAGUUCAAAAGAUAGGAAAUCACAUAUGAAGAAAAUUAGGCUUUGCAUAUAAUUUCCUGUACUUUAUGGAGAGCUGAGACCACAGAAAGAAGUAUUCUGGUGAUAGGCCUGAUACUUAUCCCUUCUUUCUCCCACUAGCACAUUGGAUAAUAUAGAUCCCAUCUAAUUUAACCCGUGGGGACUCCUCUUUGCCUCCAACCGCUGACCUGACAGUGUGCUUCUAACACAAACUCUGAGUGUAAUUAAAUUCUCUUAUUUCCCCAUUUGAGCUACUAUUAGGAAAAAAAAAAAAAAAGCCAAAAAAACAUUCCUAUGCUCCUAUUUUCGUUUACUUCAAACAGUUGCUGGAUAUAAGCCAUUCUAAUUAAACUGCAAAGUUCUUCUGUGGGCAGCUCAGAUGUUGCUAAAAUUGAUGUCAAGUGUUACAGAAAUCUGUAUUGUUUGCAGUGAUCUUUCUGAAUUCCACUGGCAUAGAGAAGUAGCAGCCAAAAACAAACAAACAAACAAACAAACAAACAAACAAUCAAAUAAAUAAAUAAAGCCCCUAGAUCUAUUUACUAUUGCUUUUUUUUUUUUUUUUUUUUUGGCUGUUCCCAGGGUCUUCAUGCAAUUUGCUAAGCCAGGAUACAGCUUGAUGCAGGACAUCAGCUGAUAAAUGUGGGUGGUACUUGGGCUUCAGAUAAAGAUUAAUCUAUAAAUUAAUCAGGGGACAAGAAAAUCUCCUUCCAUAACAAGAACAGCCCUUGUAAAUCAAGGUUUCAAUUUGGUAUAAUUAAAUGAGCAACUGGCCUGCAAAUUGUUGACCACACACAGGUUACAGAAGUGAUACUAUUGUAACCUACAUGGUUGUGCCAAGUUUCCAACAGAAGACCCUGAGGCACUUCUCUAGCGGUGUGGGAAGGUCUGGAGCAUCACCCAGCUGAGCUGCGUGCACUUGCUCAUACUCAAUUAGCAAGUUCAGGCUGUGUAUAUAACCCAUGCUGCCUACGGUGCCAAGCAGCCAAUUGCCCUCAGCAGCUACUAAUAUAGAAUUGCAAAGUAUAGUUAAUUAAGUAGGUACAAUUUAUUCCAUAGUAUGUUCCCUGUGUAUAAAACUGCGUGUAGUUUUUGGCUAUUGAUGUAGGAUACUGCUUUAAGAGUUAUCCCUUGUGUUCCUGGUCUCAGGUGCCCAUUCCUUCUUCUACGUAGUAUGUGGGACCUUGGCCUGUACUUGGGAUUGUGGAGUCAUAGAAUCAUAGAAUCCUUAGAUUUGGAAGGGACCUCUGAAGGCCACAUAGUCCAACUCCCCUGCAAUGAACAGGGACACCACAGCUAAAUCAGGUUUCCCAGGGCCUUAUUGAGCCUCACCUUGAAAGUCUCCAGGGACAGGGCAUCAACCACAUUGAGUAACCUGUUCCAGUGCCUCACCACCCUCACUGUAAAAGAGUUUUUCCUUAUAUCCAAACUAAAUCCACCCUCCCUGAGCUUGAAACCAUUUCCCUUUGUUCUAUUGCCACAGAUCCUGCUAAAGAGUCUUUGCCCUUCUUUCCCGUAGCUCCCCUUUAGAUACUGAAAGGCUGUUAUCAGGUCACCUCUCAGCCUUCUCUUCUCCAGGCUGCACAGCCCCAGCUCUCUCAGCCUGUACGCGUAGGAGAGGUGUUCCAUUCCCUGAAUCAUUUUUGUGCCCCUUCUCUGGAUGCACUCCUAGAAGUCUAUGCCUGUCAAGUCUCCUGUACUGAGGACUCCACAGCUGCAUGCAGUACUCCAGGUGAGACCUCACAGCGCAGUGUAGAGGGGCAGGAUCACCUCCCUCGUCCUAUUGGUCAUAUCUGGUCUAGUGGUUGGCAACCUUGCACAUAGCAGGGGGGUUGAAACUAGAUGAUCAUUGUGGUCCCUUUCAACACAGGCCAUUAUAUGAUAUAAUUCUAUGAUCUUUUGUUGCAGAUCAGGAUAUGUUUGGCUUUCUGAGCUGCAAGGGCACACUGCUGGCUCAUGUCUAGCUUGCCAUCCACCAGUCCCCCCAAGUCUUUUUCAGCAGGGCUGCAUUUAGUCCUUUCACCCCCCAGCUUAAAUUUGUAGUGGGAGUUAUCUUGACCCAAAUGUAAGAUCUUGUAUUUGGAUUUGUUGAAUCUCCUGACGUUCACCUGGGCUCACUGCUCAAGCUCAAGUCCCUCUGGUGUGUAGACUGCACCCCACAGCUUGGUGUCAUCAGUGAACUUGCUGAGGGUGCACUUGACCCCACUGUCGAUGCCACUGUUGAAUAUUAAAGAGUAUCAGCUCCAGCACUGACCCCUGGGAGAUACCACCCAUUACUGAUCUCCAUCCAGACACUGAGCUGUUGACCACCACUCUCUGGACUUAAUCCUGUGGCCAGUUCUUCAUCCAUCGAACAGUCUACCCAUCUGUUGUGGAGUACCAUGUCAAAGGCCUUACUGAAGUCAUAGAAUCAUAGAAUCACCAAGGUUGAAAAAGACCCACAGGAUCACCCAGUCCAACCAUCCACCUAUCACCAAUAGUUCUCAUUAAAUCAUGUCCCUCAGAAAAAUGUCCAAAUGUUCCUUGAACACCUCCAGGGUUGGUGACUCCACCACCUCCCUGGGCAGCCCAUUCCAGUGCCUGACCACUCUUUCAGAGAAGUAGUAGCUGUCUAAUGCAGAGAUUCUGCAUCAUAGAAUCAUAGAAUGGCCUGGGUUAAAAAGGACCACAGUGAUCAUCUAGUUUCAACCCCCCUGCUAUGUGCAGGGUCUCCAACCACUAGACCAGGCUGCCCAGAGCCAUAUCAUGCUCAGAGGCAGUGAGCUGUGACUUAUAUGUACAGAGGAUGUAUGGAAAAUUCUUUGCUAAUACAAGGGGGCCUGUUUUAGAAGUUGCUUGUGAGUCUCCUUUCACAGAGAAUCAUGCUUUUCAGACUAGGCAUCAUGUUGUUUGAAAGCAGAUUUGUGACAACUGCAUUGCUAGUUAUAGGGUGAAGAGGGAUGCAAUGAAACUUUAUGUGUACUUUAAAGUCAUUAAAGAAAAAAAAUGAAAAAACACAGAAGUAAUUUAUGAAUGAUUGAGCAUACUCUGGAUGCUACUGUUGAAUGAAAUCUUGCUUUCCACUCUGUCUCUGCUUCUUACAGUGAGAUUUGGUAGGAUCUGCCAUUGUCUGGGUGAAAGUGAACUACCUGUUCGGUUUUGAGGAUGAAUUAAACAUUCUUAUUGCACAUCUCAUCUUAUUAAAAGUAUUAUUCUUGGCAUGCAAAAAAGCUUUGUUCCUGCACAGUAAAUGAGAUAUAUAAGUCCACUGAAAGAAGCUAAGACCAGUCAAAGCAGAGACCAGAAAACAGUACCACAUGCUUCUUUUAAAAAGAAAGAAACAACAGACAAACCAAACAACAAAAAUGCUGGAAGAGACAGUGAAAGAUAAAGAUGUAUUUGAAUGAUCUGGUAAUUAUACGUACACCAAGAGGCAUUCAUUUGUUUAUCUAUUCUUCCUUUGCCAACAUUGGCGAGCAGGCAGAAACUAGGCUCUUCCAACCUUCUCUGUCAUUUGCUGCUUCUUUCAUCUGCCUUCCAGUUUUGAAAUCAAACACUUAGCUCUCCCUCUUCUAUGGAAAUCUGCAAGGUUUCUGUUGUACUUCUUUACUUGAGUUGGCUUCCAAUUCACACGGCUGUAAACAGGACCAAUAUGAAAGGCUAACUGAUUAGUUUGGAAGAUUGAUUUAUUAUUUUCAGGAAAAAAUAGAAGGCAACGAAUCCUGCACACUGGGAAUAUUACUUGUAGUGACAAAGAUGGCGGCUAGGUGUUGGAAGGGCUGAUGGAUGUGUAAUGAACACAGGCCUGUUCCAUUUAUUUACCACAGGUAUAAAGACAAUUGCCCUAAAUGCACAUUUCAGAUAUACGGGAAGGAAUAGUGUCUGCCCCUAACAGUCCACGUUUUGACUUAGAAUAAAACACAGCAGCAAUUAGGAGGAUAAUGCGAGAAGUAGGAGAACAGCAGUAAGAUCAUACAGCAAAUAAGUAUGUACAUGCACAAUCAGAUCCAAGCCAUUUUAAAGUAGAGUUGUGUGAAUAAUUGUUUCUUCAGUUCAAAGGUCAAGCUGAAAAAAAAAAUACAGAUGCAUUUUGGGUUGCUCUGAAGCAUAAAAUUGUAUUGGUUUUCUUGGCAAAAUGGAAAAAAAAAAGUAGAAAAUAUCUGGAGUUGAAGUCAAAGUUAAAAGUUCAUUUAGUUGGAGGAAUCUAAGCGCUCAUUAAAUGAUUUAUUCCAAGAAGUUUAAAAACAAUCAUUUUUGAACAAAAGUUUGAAAUACUGUGAAAAUAGGGAAAUAAUUUCUCUUAAUUGGAUUUUCUUUUUUUUCAGUCACAAUUAUUGGCCAGAUAAAGCCAGUUAGGAACAAUUUUCACCUGAUCUUUUUGUCUAGUGAAUGUUGACUCUCAGUCUUCCUUGUACUUCAACCUUUCACAAGGUAGUGCAUUUCUUAAAAUAACUCUUUUAAAAAAACUUCUGAGGAAAAUGAUGACAUGAUAUUUAAAUGAGAAACUUUAACUCUCUUCUCCUGGGGAAGAAGGAAAAAACUAAGAUUAUCGAGAAAAUAUUGCAGUGAAGGUAUUCUUUAGGUUUUUGGUUUUUAAAUAAGUCAUGACAAAUGAAAAAAGUAGCUAUUCUUGAGCAGUACAUCAAAACUGGUACUGAUAAAUUAGCAGCCCUGAGAAACAAAACAGAACAAAACAGCAUGUGGUGCCAGUGUGUUCGGGUUAGUGUUAUGGAUUUGCACUGGAGUUACUAAGUCAUCAUUUUUGCAGCAAAUUGGUAUGGAACAAGGGUCUUCUGGGUGACUCCAUAGUUCUGUGUGGAGCUGACGACAGACAAUAUUUGUGUUUGAUCAUACUGGCUGUUCAGGUGUCAGCAUGGAGCAGGAAGAUCCCAAGACUGAAAUCACUCAUUUUCACUCGUUAGGAAGAAGUUGGUGUGUCUUUGAGGGCUGUGGUUUCAAAUUAUCUAUUCUUCUUGUAAUAGUUCAAAGAUUAAAGAAGGAACAGAGAUUGUUUUCCUGGAUCAUGAAGGAUGACCAUUGCAUGGGCUCUGCAGGAGGUGCGUGGCAAAGAAACAGGUUUUGCCCAGGAUUUUAUGACCAUUUUAGUAGUAGUAGGUUCCUGCAUUCCAACUCUAUAUUUUUUUAACUUAUAUUGAGAGAUAUUUUCUUUCUUUUAAAG